Long non-coding RNA from Stomoxys calcitrans (stable fly), 637 nucleotides. RefSeq lists it as uncharacterized. The transcript has 3 exons. NCBI's taxonomy places the organism in Eukaryota, Metazoa, Arthropoda, Insecta, Diptera, Muscidae. The record is from RefSeq and is a predicted model, not a curated record.
UUAAAGGUGCCAACUUUAAUAUGAUAAAGAAAAAAAUCAAAAAAUAACUGAUCUAUAAAUUUCUGGCCUAAUAAUAAAAAUCAUCAUUAUCAUCAAGUAAAAGCGCAUGAAGUUCGGCCGGUUUUCAAAUAUCUAUGAGCUACAUCCCCAAAUGAUUUCAUAUGGACUGUUUUUAUCAUGGCUAUUAGAAGGCACAAGAAAAUACCACGUUCAAAAUUUCUGCCAAAUCGGAUAAUAAUUGGGCAAUUUCACGAAAAUUAACCCCCGUAGUCAACGCAGAGGGUAUGUAUGUUGACGAAAAGCCUUAUACUGGGCUAUUCACCUGCUUCUAAGCAACAUGAAAAGAUAUUUGGUUGUAUUUAUAAAUCUAGAACAAAUUAUCCCUAUGCUUGGUAGAGUAGACGAGAAUGAUAUGGAACAUGAACCAUUAUGCCAGAGUGUAGUGGAUAAUCGGCCAUUACAACACGACUUUAGAAAAAAGGAAAUUGCUUGCAAAUAGGUGUGAAUAAAUUCUCGGAUAAUAUCGUUAUCUCUGCCAUAAAGCUCAUAUGGGAUGGAUACUUUAAGUAAAUGCUGAUGCUCCAUAUUUCUGCUGCCGAGGGGUAGCAAAUAAAUCUUCCGUACGUAGUCAGGGAAA